Molecule: long non-coding RNA, 3910 nt
Organism: Prionailurus viverrinus (fishing cat)
Lineage: Eukaryota; Metazoa; Chordata; Mammalia; Carnivora; Felidae
Exons: 2
Source: RefSeq, a predicted model, not a curated record
UGAGGCACCCAGGCGCCCCUACUCACUUUCCCUUUUUAACCACUAAUUUCUUUACAGACUGAAAGGGUUGGACUAGGUCAUUUCAAAUGUCCUUUCUUGAUAGGGAAAGAGGGAGCAAGGGAAGUAAGAAAAAAUGAAAAGAAGGAAAAUCACUGCUUGGAUUUAAAAAAAAAAAAAAUGAAUACUUAUACCCACCAGUCUUGGUCCUGUCCUGGAGACAGACAAGCCUUCAGAUACUGCAGACACCUUCCCCCACCUCGUUCGUUGUUCGUGCUCACCUAAACUUUUUCCCCUCUAGGUUAUCCCCACUUGAUCCCUCUUGUCAGUGGCUCUCAAACAGUAGAAUCACGGAGAGGAGACUUUAAGAACAAAAAUACGCAGGGCUCUGCUGCUGCUGCUGGAAAUCUGAUAUCAUAGGUGCAUACCUGGGCUUCGUGUUAAAAGGCAGAUUCUAACAGUUGGUUUGGGAUGGAGGCUGAGAGUCCUUGCAAACCUCCAGGUGCUGCUGAGUUGCUGAUCUGAAGACCACACUUUGAGAAGUAAGAAUCUAGGAGUUAUUUAUUAUUCAUGGAAUAAAUAUAUUUUCCUUCAAGUUCCAGCUGCCCUAGUUCACUAAGCCAUUCUUGUCUCCUCCGGAAAGAUUUCUCUGACUCCAGCUCCCCCUGGGUGCUCCUUUUUGUGAACUAUAACUGUUUAAUAAUUCACUGCGUAUUUCAAGUGUGAGGCAGGAAAUGUGGUGUUUGUCUGAUCCUCAUUUCCACUCACCCACCCACAUCUACCUGGAUGCCAAGGACACAGUGUUCCCCCAAUCUCUACUGAUUGGGAGGUAAUAUUAGCUUACAUUCUUGGAGGACAUACCGCGUGCCAGGCACCUUGCUAAGUGUUUUACGUGCAUUGUCUCCGUUACUCAACUACUACUAUCCUUUACAAAGGAAGAAAUCAAGGCAAGUCUCCUGUUUAAACUCUAUAACCACAGCCCACAGUGGUACCGCCCCCUAGGGGAUAUUUUGGAAACUUGCAGGUGCUUUAAUUUGUUACCCCAAUGAGGGGCAGAGCUAGGCUGUGGCAUUUAGUAGAGGAGGGUCAGGGAUACUGGGGUCCUGCCCUGCACAGAAUGUUGCAGCACAAUGAAGAUUAUUAGUGUCCCACAUGGCUUUUAUAUGUCAGGCUGGACAUUUGGGUUAGUUAAAAUGUGCUUCUAAUUACAUUAGAAUCCUAACUCUGUUUUACAUAUAAACACAAAAUAUUUUGCACCACACUGAAUUUUCUGUAAAUGCAACUGUAUACGUCCAGGGAAAAUCGCACUUUGCUCACUGUUUUGGAAAAGCAGGACACUGAAGCCAGUUCCACUCAUGGCCUCUGAGUCAGCAAUCAAUACAUCUGUGCCAGUCGAAUGUAUAACUGCCACACGGGCCCAGUAAUUCCAUGUGUGUACAUGAAUAUUUUUAUUUAGUUCUUAUUUCAAAAUGCCAAAAAAGGUGUCAAUGAUAUUCCAGAGUCUUGUCUUAAAUUAUAAGUAGGUGCAAAUACCUCACUACUUCCCUUUGACUUGUGAGGCAAUUCUGACUAAGCAUCUAUAAAAGCAAAUACAUAUUAGACUUUUUUGGCUUUAUUUUUACUCCUCCUUUAUUAUGAUUAUGUCAUUAUAUUGAUGUAUAAGUGUUAGCUAUGAAAUCCAUUUCUUGACCACCUAGUGAAUAAUACAAAAUAACCAUUCUCAAAAGGGAGCCCUAAGUAUCACAGCCAAGAGGAGCCUAAGAAGACACAACUAAAUGUAACACGGUAUUCUGGAAAGGAUCCCAGAACAGGAAAAAACAUUACGUAAAAACUAGGAGUAUCUAACUAAAGCAUGGGCUUUAGUUAGUAAUGAUAUAUCAAUUAUGGUUCGUUAGUUGUAGCAAAUUUAUCAUACUAAUGUAAGAUGUCAACAAUAGGGGAAGCUGGGUGCAGCAUGUAUAGGAAGUCUCUGUACCAUCCUCUCAAUUUUUCUGCAAAUCUAAAACUGUCCUAAAAAAUAAAUUCUACUUUAAAAAAAAAAAAAAGGUAAAGUGGCAAGAGGAUAGAGGGAGAUCGGAAGGCUUGAGUCUAGAAGGUAGACAUCCUAACCUUGAACUAUGAAUGCCCAUUACAGAAGAGAGACCAUGGAAAAACAAAGUAUAUGAGGUACUUGGAAACUCUAAUACGGUCAUCCAAAGAGAAAUGUUCACCAACAAUGGCAAGAAAGAUAGAACAGGACAAGAAUUAAACUAAUAUUUGUAAUAUUAAGCCUCUUCCACUGGCUUUUACCAGAAUGUAUUCUUAGUAUCUUUAAGGAUUUAAGAAAUUUUACAAAUUUUGUGAAAUCUCAAAUUUUCAAAUCACCAGGCUUCCACCAGGACAUUUGGGAAAGGCACAUUUGGGUAAGAGCUUAUAGACAUAUAACUUGACUGUUGAAAGAUGAGAAGUUAAGUGAUGGCUUCUUUUUUAUUCUUAUCUAUUCUUUUUUGUAAUUUCAGUAAAUGUCUUUAGAUCCCUAAUCCUAGAAAUACACACAGAGAAGAAAAGCCAAGAAGCUGAAGGAAACAAAUGAGGCAGGAAGGGCCUCAGCUGGCACGGAAGUCACAGUUAAUCUUGCUGGAGCCACCUGCUGAGGGUCAUGAGUCCUAAAAUGCUCCACUAAGAGUCCACUUAGUCACCACAACCCUAUAAAGCACGUAUUAUCAGCAUCCCUUCGUUGAAGAUAAGGAAACUGAAGCUCAGGUUACAUACCAUUACCAGCGGACCCAGCAGUGGAGCUCCAAGGACAGUGCCCCUAACCACUGUGCUACAAGGCCACUAUGGAAGAAUCCAAAGAUGACCAAGAGGAUGGCUUCUAUACCUGAUUACCCUACAUCAUAUUUUAGAUUAAAGUAUACUGUUUUUAUUUCGUUUGCAUGUAGACUUUGGAAACGCAACUACAAACAUAUUAUUCACCUUUUUGAAGUCUUGGAGAAAUGAACAUGACAUUUAGAGCUACUUACUGCGCCUUACAGUAAACUGUCCCAUGACAGAGUAUCUAAACUGAGCGUGAGAGUCAACCCAGAACAGCAUUUGUAUAGAAGGACCCUAAGAUGUUUUCUUGGAAAGUGAGAAGUGUCUGUAUGUAUGCUUGCCUGUAGGUGUGACUGUUAAACUAUAAACUCCCUUCCCCAUACAAAAAUUAUAAAUGAGGGCAUUAGUAUGGAACAUUUGGAGAAACACCGUAUCAGUAGGAAGCAUUAUGAAGAGGCUUGGUGUGCAAAAUAUUGUAAUAUUAAGACAUACAAAAGAAUUGUUAAGUGCUAGUUCCGCCUUAAAGGGACUCACAUUCUAAACAGGAUGGUACAGUCCUGCACCCCGCCCACCUUAGCCAUGUGCUUUCUCCAAGUGUGUCUCCACUCAGUCUGCAUGUUACAAUCACCAAUUUGUCCUGCUUUGUAGGGAAUAAUUCCUGGUUUUAGCACUGAAAAAUCUGAGUCCUGGGAAACCCCCUCAGUGGGUCACCUUACUGGGAUGCUUCUAAAUAUCCUGCUGCCCAAACCAAUCCCCUGCCCAGUUGAAUCAGGCUGUCGGGUUUCCCCGGCACAUCCAGCCCUCAUUGUACGAUCCCGACUGCCAAAGUCCGCCUGGCCCAAAUCCUCUGGGCUCUUCAGACCGCUGAGUGGCAGCAAGCAAUCCUUCCCUUCAGGGGGGCGCUGGGCUUCACAUGCUGGCAGAUGGGGCCCAGCACCACUCACAGUGUUUCCGGACCUGGUAGCAGUGCGUCAGCACACAUGUGAUGGUGAGGACAGCCAGAACCACGAUGGAGAAUAUCACCAAGGCGGUGAUGGCCCGCUUUUUCUGGUUGGCAGCCACCAUGGCCAGGAAGGUUUUGGAAGGAACUCCCCCACCCCACCCCACCCCACCCCCAAAA